RNAcentral lists this ribosomal RNA (508 nucleotides) under uncultured bacterium. RNAcentral describes it as "partial 16S ribosomal RNA". It matches the Rfam family "Bacterial small subunit ribosomal RNA", at positions 29 to 523 of the family's 1533-position model. The record is from RNAcentral.
AUUGAACGCUGGCGGCAGGCCUAACACAUGCAAGUCGAGCGGCAGCGGGAAAGUAGCUUGCUACUUUUGCCGGCGAGCGGCGGACGGGUGAGUAAUGCCUGGGGAUCUGCCCAGUCGAGGGGGAUAACAGUUGGAAACGACUGCUAAUACCGCAUACGCCCUACGGGGGAAAGGAGGGGACCUUCGGGCCUUUCGCGAUUGGAUGAACCCAGGUGGGAGUAGCUAGUUGGUGGGGUAAUGGCUCACCAAGGCGACGAGCCCUAGCUGGUCUGAGAGGAUGAUCAGCCACACUGGAAAUGAGACACGGUCCAGACUCCUACGGGAGGCAGCAGUGGGGAAUAUUGCACAAUGGGGGAAACCCUGAUGCAGCCAUGCCGCGUGUGUGAAGAAGGCCUUCGGGUUGUAAAGCACUUUCAGCGAGGAGGAAAGGUUGUUGGCUAAUACCCAGCAACUGUGACGUUACUCGCAGAAGAAGCACCGGCUAACUCCGUGCCAGCAGCCGCAGUAA